RNAcentral lists this unclassified non-coding RNA (232 nucleotides) under Hevea brasiliensis (rubber tree). Lineage: Eukaryota; Viridiplantae; Streptophyta; Magnoliopsida; Malpighiales; Euphorbiaceae. The record is from RNAcentral.
GGACGUGAGGGGGAUAGGGAUGCUAGCGGCCGAUCCGGCCUUGCAGCAGCAGCUGCCGCCGGAGAUUGAGGCGCAACUGUUCGGGAAUGGCCCGGAAGGCGGCGGUGGAAGGAGGAGGAAGCGGGGGACGGCAGAUCCGGUGGAUAAAGUUGCGAUGCAGCGACAGAAGAGGAUGAUUAAGAAUCGGGAGUCGGCGGCGAGGUCAAGGGAGAGGAAACAGGCUUAUACGAUG